UGGCUCAGUUGUUAGAGCAUGGCGCUUGCGAUGACAGGGUUGUGGGUUCGAUUCCCGC
RNAcentral lists this transfer RNA (58 nucleotides) under Salmo trutta (river trout). It matches the Rfam family "tRNA", at positions 8 to 63 of the family's 71-position model. From Rfam's summary of the family: Transfer RNA (tRNA) molecules are approximately 80 nucleotides in length. The record is from Rfam by way of RNAcentral. Lineage: Eukaryota; Metazoa; Chordata; Actinopteri; Salmoniformes; Salmonidae.